This 208-nucleotide unclassified non-coding RNA is filed under the name Hevea brasiliensis (rubber tree). The record is from RNAcentral. Lineage: Eukaryota; Viridiplantae; Streptophyta; Magnoliopsida; Malpighiales; Euphorbiaceae.
GAGGGAACCUUUAUCCUUGUAGUCAUUAUGCUAUUUUCAAUAUUCAGAGGAUCAUCAUAGUUAGACAUUGAGGAAAUUUUAUGAAUCCUUUGUGUCUUCCUUUAGAGUCAACAUACAAAGGACCAUUAUUGUUAGUCUGAAUUAACCAAAUUUCUCCUCUUCCUUCCACUUCGAAUCUAAUCCUAUAGCAUCAACGAAUAUUGCAACG